Molecule: ribosomal RNA, 433 nt
Filed under: crenarchaeote SCGC AAA288-N15
Lineage: Archaea; Thermoproteati; Thermoproteota
Description: SSU rRNA
Rfam family: Archaeal small subunit ribosomal RNA
Source: RNAcentral
GCCGCGGUAAAACCAGCACCUCAAGUGGUCAGGAGGAUUAUUGGGCCUAAAGCAUCCGUAGCCGGCUCUGUAAGUUUUCGGUUAAAUCCAUGUGCUCAACACAUGGGCUGCCGAAAAUACUGCAUAGCUAGGGAGUGGGAGAGGUAGACGGUACUCGGUAGGAAGGGGUAAAAUCCUUUGAUCUAUCGAUGACCACCUGUGGCGAAGGCGGUCUACCAGAACACGUUCGACGGUGAGGGAUGAAAGCUGGGGGAGCAAACCGGAUUAGAUACCCGGGUAGUCCCAGCUGUAAACGAUGCAGACUCGAUGAUGCAUUGGCAUAUAGCCAGUGCAGUGUCGCAGGGAAGCCGUUAAGUCUGCCGCCUGGGAAGUACGUACGCAAGUAUGAAACUUAAAGGAAUUGGCGGGGGAGCACGGUCAUACUGUUUCCUGA